RNAcentral lists this transfer RNA (82 nucleotides) under Schistocerca americana (American grasshopper). Its description in RNAcentral is "tRNA-Ser". It matches the Rfam family "tRNA". From Rfam's summary of the family: Transfer RNA (tRNA) molecules are approximately 80 nucleotides in length. Their secondary structure includes four short double-helical elements and three loops (D, anti-codon, and T loops). Lineage: Eukaryota; Metazoa; Arthropoda; Insecta; Orthoptera; Acrididae. The record is from RNAcentral.
GCAGUCGUGGCCGAGUGGUUAAGGCGUCUGACAAGAAAUCAGAUUCCCUCUGGGAGCGUAGGUUCGAGUCCUACCGACUGCG